GCGAAAUGCAUUGUAGCUAUUUACUUAUAAUAAUAAUUCUAGAUAUCGGUCAUAUUCUUACGCAACGAACAACAGCUCGAAAAUCUUUAUCGUGCAUUAUGUACAUUGUUUGUGUGGUAUGCACACGCGUGCAUAUAUUUUACUUAGCAUUCCAUGAAUAUGUGUCACAUAUAAGUUGCAGGCGCCAUAACUUGUUCAUAGCGAAACACCGAAGCUGAAUAUUUUUUACAUUGUAUAUUAUUGUACUGGUCAAGUGCGUGUCGAGCAACGCCAGGUCCGCAGCGCCGGGUUUUCAUGUUAGCUAACACAAUAACAUUGUUUACAAACGGAGUAGGGGUGUUAGGCUUCCGAAGGUAUGUCUUACACAUGUAGGUAUAUUCAAUUCACUAUCAGAAAUAUAUAUUUACUUCCAGAUGUACAUAAGUAACGCCUGUGACUAGUUAUAAUAUCCAAAAUGUGAAAUAUAAUAUUGUUUUCAAACUUU
Plodia interpunctella (Indianmeal moth) is the source of this 484-nucleotide long non-coding RNA. RefSeq lists it as uncharacterized. NCBI's taxonomy places the organism in Eukaryota, Metazoa, Arthropoda, Insecta, Lepidoptera, Pyralidae. The record is from RefSeq and is a predicted model, not a curated record. The transcript is spliced from 2 exons.